Molecule: ribosomal RNA, 798 nt
Filed under: uncultured Legionella sp.
Lineage: Bacteria; Pseudomonadati; Pseudomonadota; Gammaproteobacteria; Legionellales; Legionellaceae
Description: bacterial SSU rRNA
Rfam family: Bacterial small subunit ribosomal RNA
Source: RNAcentral
AACCGAGAUACAGACCCUACUCCAACCGGAGGCAGCAACGUCGAAUACUGGACAGUGGGCGCAACCCUGAUACAACGAUGCCGCGUGUGUGCAGAAGGCCUGAGGGUUGCACACCUAUUUCAGUGGGGAGCAGGGUUGAUAGGUUGAGACCUACUUACUAUGUACGUUACACACGUAAGAUGCACCGGCUAACUCCUUGCCAGCAGCCGCGGUAAUACGGAGGGUGCGAGCGUUAAUCGGAAUUACUGGGCGUAAAGGGUGCGUAGGUGGUUGAUUAAGUUAUCUGUGAAAUUCCUGGGCUUAACCUGGGACGGUCAGAUAAUACUGGUUGACUCUAGUAUGGGAGAGGGUAGUGGAAUAUCAGGUGUAGCGGUGAAAUGCGUAUAGAUCGGAAGGAACACCAGUGGCGAAGGCGGCUACCUGGCCUAAUACUAACACUGGAGCACGAAGGCGUGGGGAGCAAACAGGAUUAGAUACCAUGUUAGCCCGCGCUGUAAACGAUGUCAACUAGCUGUUGGUUAAAAGAUAAUAUUAGUGGCGCCGCACACGCGAUAUCCUUGACCGCCUGGGGAGUACGGUCGCAAGAAUAAAACUCCACGGAAUUGACGGGGGCCCGCAACAGCGGUGGAGCAUGGGGUUUAUUACCUGCAACGCGAAGAACCUUACUUACCCCUGACAUCCACGAAUUAUUGAGAGAUGCAUCCUCCCAUACGGGACUCCGAUACAGGGGCUGCUUGGGUGUCGGCCCCACGUGCCGUGAGACGAUGGGUCAGUCUCUUAACCACCGCAACCCUUAUC